AUGGUAUGAUAGAAAUUUAAACCCUUUUUAAGUAUCAAUUGGAGGGCAAGUCUGGUGCCAGCAGCCGCGGUAAUUCCAGCUCCAAUAGCGUAUAUUAAAAUUGUUGCAGUUAAAAAGCUCGUAGUUGAAGUUCUGCUGAAAGUAACCGGUCUGCUUUUAAUAAAAGUGGUAUCUUGGUAUGUAUUUAGCAAUGAUGUCCUUUGAAGUGUUUUUUACUUUAUUGUAAUAAAGCAUAUUCAGGACUUUUACUUUGAGAAAAUUAGAGUGUUUCUAGCAGGCUGACGCUUUGAAUACUGCAGCAUGGAAUAAUAAGAUAGGAUUUUAGUUCUACAUUAUUGGUUUUAAGAGCUAAAUUAAUGAUUGAUAGGGACAGUUGGGGGCAUUUGUAUUUAACUGUCAGAGGUGAAAUUCUUAGAUUUGUUAAAGACAAACUACUGCGAAAGCAUUUGCCAAAGAUGUUUUCAUUAAUCAAGAACGAAAGUUAGGGGAUCGAAGAA
RNAcentral lists this ribosomal RNA (497 nucleotides) under Hepatozoon canis. Its description in RNAcentral is "SSU rRNA". It matches the Rfam family "Eukaryotic small subunit ribosomal RNA", at positions 509 to 1005 of the family's 1831-position model. Lineage: Eukaryota; Apicomplexa; Hepatozoidae. The record is from RNAcentral.